UACGUAGGGGGCAAGCGUUGUCCGGAUUUAUUGGGCGUAAAGAGCGUGUAGGCGGCCAGGUAGGUCAGCUGUGAAAACUCGAGGCUCAACCUCGAGACGUCGGUUGAAACCACCUGGCUAGAGUCCGGAAGAGGAGAGUGGAAUUCCUGGUGUAGCGGUGAAAUGCGUAGAUAUCUGGAGGAAUACCGGUGGCGAAGGCGGCAUCCUGGACCGGCAUUGACGCUGAUGAGCGAAAGCUAGGGGAGCAAACGGG
RNAcentral lists this ribosomal RNA (253 nucleotides) under uncultured bacterium. RNAcentral's name for it is "partial 16S ribosomal RNA". It matches the Rfam family "Bacterial small subunit ribosomal RNA", at positions 524 to 776 of the family's 1533-position model. The record is from RNAcentral.